ACACAUUCCAGCCAAUCAGCAGCAGACCCUCCCUCCCAGACUCUCCCACCUCCUGGACAGCAUCCAUUUUACAUCCAUUUGAAGCUGCAUUCUUAGUGAGCUGUCCAGGAGGUGGGAGGGUCUGGGAGGGAGGGUCUGCUGCUGAUUUGGCCUUUUGG
Pelobates cultripes (western spadefoot toad) is the source of this 158-nucleotide non-coding RNA. Lineage: Eukaryota; Metazoa; Chordata; Amphibia; Anura; Pelobatidae. The record is from the annotation of a GenBank genome assembly.